UACGUAGGGUGCAAGCGUUGUCCGGAAUUAUUGGGCGUAAAGAGCUCGUAGGCGGUUUGUCGCGUCUGCUGUGAAAGACCGGGGCUCAACUCCGGUUCUGCAGUGGGUACGGGCAGACUAGAGUGCAGUAGGGGAGACUGGAAUUCCUGGUGUAGCGGUGAAAUGCGCAGAUAUCAGGAGGAACACCGAUGGCGAAGGCAGGUCUCUGGGCAUUAACUGACGCUGAGGAGCGAAAGCAUGGGGAGCGAACAGG
RNAcentral lists this ribosomal RNA (253 nucleotides) under uncultured bacterium. RNAcentral describes it as "partial 16S ribosomal RNA". It matches the Rfam family "Bacterial small subunit ribosomal RNA", at positions 524 to 776 of the family's 1533-position model. The record is from RNAcentral.